Molecule: ribosomal RNA, 1383 nt
Filed under: Escherichia coli
Lineage: Bacteria; Pseudomonadati; Pseudomonadota; Gammaproteobacteria; Enterobacterales; Enterobacteriaceae
Description: partial 23S ribosomal RNA
Rfam family: Bacterial large subunit ribosomal RNA
Source: RNAcentral
CGGUGCUGAAGCGACAAAUGCCCUGCUUCCAGGAAAAGCCUCUAAGCAUCAGGUAACAUCAAAUCGUACCCCAAACCGACACAGGUGGUCAGGUAGAGAAUACCAAGGCGCUUGAGAGAACUCGGGUGAAGGAACUAGGCAAAAUGGUGCCGUAACUUCGGGAGAAGGCACGCUGAUAUGUAGGUGAAGCGACUUGCUCGUGGAGCUGAAAUCAGUCGAAGAUACCAGCUGGCUGCAACUGUUUAUUAAAAACACAGCACUGUGCAAACACGAAAGUGGACGUAUACGGUGUGACGCCUGCCCGGUGCCGGAAGGUUAAUUGAUGGGGUUAGCGGUAACGCGAAGCUCUUGAUCGAAGCCCCGGUAAACGGCGGCCGUAACUAUAACGGUCCUAAGGUAGCGAAAUUCCUUGUCGGGUAAGUUCCGACCUGCACGAAUGGCGUAAUGAUGGCCAGGCUGUCUCCACCCGAGACUCAGUGAAAUUGAACUCGCUGUGAAGAUGCAGUGUACCCGCGGCAAGACGGAAAGACCCCGUGAACCUUUACUAUAGCUUGACACUGAACAUUGAGCCUUGAUGUGUAGGAUAGGUGGGAGGCUUUGAAGUGUGGACGCCAGUCUGCAUGGAGCCGACCUUGAAAUACCACCCUUUAAUGUUUGAUGUUCUAACGUGGGCCCCUUACCGGGGUUGCGGACAGUGUCUGGUGGGUAGUUUGACUGGGGCGGUCUCCUCCUAAAGAGUAACGGAGGAGCACGAAGGUUGGCUAAUCCUGGUCGGACAUCAGGAGGUUAGUGCAAUGGCAUAAGCCAGCUUGACUGCGAGCGUGACGGCGCGAGCAGGUGCGAAAGCAGGUCAUAGUGAUCCGGUGGUUCUGAAUGGAAGGGCCAUCGCUCAACGGAUAAAAGGUACUCCGGGGAUAACAGGCUGAUACCGCCCAAGAGUUCAUAUCGACGGCGGUGUUUGGCACCUCGAUGUCGGCUCAUCACAUCCUGGGGCUGAAGUAGGUCCCAAGGGUAUGGCUGUUCGCCAUUUAAAGUGGUACGCGAGCUGGGUUUAGAACGUCGUGAGACAGUUCGGUCCCUAUCUGCCGUGGGCGCUGGAGAACUGAGGGGGGCUGCUCCUAGUACGAGAGGACCGGAGUGGACGCAUCACUGGUGUUCGGGUUGUCAUGCCAAUGGCACUGCCCGGUAGCUAAAUGCGGAAGAGAUAAGUGCUGAAAGCAUCUAAGCACGAAACUUGCCCCGAGAUGAGUUCUCCCUGACUCCUUGAGAGUCCUGAAGGAACGUUGAAGACGACGACGUUGAUAGGCCGGGUGUGUAAGCGCAGCGAUGCGUUGAGCUAACCGGUACUAAUGAACCGUGAGGCUUAACCUUACAACGCCGAAG